UCACCAUUCAGGGCGCUCAUGAAUGGG
RNAcentral lists this non-coding RNA (27 nucleotides) under Mus musculus (house mouse). Lineage: Eukaryota; Metazoa; Chordata; Mammalia; Rodentia; Muridae. The record is from RNAcentral.